Nylanderia fulva is the source of this 415-nucleotide non-coding RNA. Lineage: Eukaryota; Metazoa; Arthropoda; Insecta; Hymenoptera; Formicidae. The record is from RefSeq and is a predicted model, not a curated record.
UUAAUAAUGUAUAUUCCGAAAAUUUAGCUCUGUCAAUAGAGAGACACUCUGAAAGUAUUGUAGAAGCUAACGUAAUUAAAGUGAAUACAGAAAAUCAAUUUAGAAGACAUCGAAUAUGGGAGAUGAGUGACCGUGUAAUAGAUAAGGAUGAAUUAUAUUCCUAUAUUACAAUCAAGAUUCAAAUUAUUCGCAAAAAACAAAUCGAGAAGCAGAGACAAUAUUUUGCAAGAUUUUUCUUCUAAUCGGUGGAUGUAAAAAAUUGCAGUUUUGCAUACGUGGACGUACUUUAUAUGAAUAAUUUUAUUAUAUUGUAUCUACUAUACCUUUUACUGCUCUAAAUAUUGUUUAUUUAGAUGUAUUAGUAUCCGAUUUAUAUAUUUGCCUUUUUAUAUUUACAAAACGUUAUAACUGCAUG